This 836-nucleotide ribosomal RNA is filed under the name Sphaerostilbella broomeana. RNAcentral's name for it is "LSU rRNA". It matches the Rfam family "Eukaryotic large subunit ribosomal RNA", at positions 74 to 939 of the family's 3401-position model. The record is from RNAcentral. Lineage: Eukaryota; Fungi; Ascomycota; Sordariomycetes; Hypocreales; Hypocreaceae.
AUUGCCCCAGUAACGGCGAGUGAAGCGGCAACAGCUCAAAUUUGAAAUCUGGUCCUCACGGGCCCGAGUUGUAAUUUGUAGAGGAUGCUUUUGGUGCGGCGCCGCCCGAGUUCCCUGGAACGGGACGCCAUAGAGGGUGAGAGCCCCGUCUGGCUGGACGCCAAGCCUCUGUAAAGCUCCUUCGACGAGUCGAGUAGUUUGGGAAUGCUGCUCUAAAUGGGAGGUAUAUGUCUUCUAAAGCUAAAUAUUGGCCAGAGACCGAUAGCGCACAAGUAGAGUGAUCGAAAGAUGAAAAGCACUUUGAAAAGAGGGUUAAACAGUACGUGAAAUUGUUGAAAGGGAAGCGCUCGUGACCAGACUUGGGCUUGGCGAAUCAUCCAGGGUUCUCCCUGGUGCACUUUGCCUCGCCCAGGCCAGCAUCAGUUCGCCGCGGGGGACAAAGGCGUCGGGAACGUGGCUCCCUCGGGAGUGUUAUAGCCCGUCGCGCAAUACCCUGGGGCGGACUGAGGUUCGCGCAUCUGCAAGGAUGCUGGCGUAAUGGUCAUCGGCGACCCGUCUUGAAACACGGACCAAGGAGUCGUCCUCGUAUGCGAGUGUUCGGGUGUCAAACCCCUACGCGUAAUGAAAGUGAACGCAGGUGAGAGCUUCGGCGCAUCAUCGACCGAUCCUGAUGUUCUCGGAUGGAUUUGAGUAAGAGCAUACGGGGCCGGACCCGAAAGAAGGUGAACUAUGCCUGUAUAGGGUGAAGCCAGAGGAAACUCUGGUGGAGGCUCGCAGCGGUUCUGACGUGCAAAUCGAUCGUCAAAUAUGGGCAUGGGGGCGAAAGACUAAUCGAA